UCAGGAUGAACGCUGGCGGCGUGCUUAACACAUGCAAGUCGAACGGAGCUUAGAAGGAAGCUUGCUUCAUUAAGCUUAGUGGCGGACGGGUGAGUAACGCGUGAGCAACCUGCCCUCGAGUGGGGAAUAACAUCGAGAAAUCGGUGCUAAUACCGCAUAAUGUCGAGAGACCGCAUGAUCUUUCGACCAAAGGAUUUAUUCGCUUGAGGAUGGGCUCGCGUCCGAUUAGCUAGUUGGUGAGGUAACGGCCCACCAAGGCUUCGAUCGGUAGCCGAACUGAGAGGUUGAUCGGCCACAUUGGGACUGAGACACGGCCCAGACUCCUACGGGAGGCAGCAGUGGGGAAUAUUGGGCAAUGGGCGAAAAAGCCUGACCCAGCAACGCCGCGUGAAGGAUGAAGGUCUUCGGAUUGUAAACUUCUUUGAUUGGGGAAGAAUAAAAUGACCUACCCAAAGAACAAGCCACGGCUAACUACGUGCCAGCCGCCGC
This 489-nucleotide ribosomal RNA is filed under the name uncultured bacterium. Its description in RNAcentral is "bacterial SSU rRNA". It matches the Rfam family "Bacterial small subunit ribosomal RNA", at positions 24 to 518 of the family's 1533-position model. The record is from RNAcentral.